This 966-nucleotide ribosomal RNA is filed under the name Triticum aestivum (bread wheat). Its description in RNAcentral is "partial small subunit ribosomal RNA". The record is from RNAcentral. Lineage: Eukaryota; Viridiplantae; Streptophyta; Magnoliopsida; Poales; Poaceae.
AUGGUUCGGUGUUUUGAUGAUCCCUACCUUAUUGACCGCAACUUCUGUAUUAUCGCCUUCAUCGCUUCCCCUCCAGUAGAUAUUGAUGGUAUUCGUGAGCCUGUUUCUGGUUCUUUACUUUAUGGAAACAAUAUUAUCUCUGGUGCUAUUAUCCCUACUUCUGCGGCGAUCGGAUUGCACUUUUACCCAAUUUGGGAAGCUGCAUCUGUUGAUGAGUGGUUAUACAAUGGUGGUCCUUAUGAGCUAAUUGUUCUACACUUCUUACUUGGUGUAGCUUGUUAUAUGGGUCGUGAGUGGGAACUUAGUUUCCGUCUGGGUAUGCGUCCUUGGAUUGCUGUUGCAUAUUCAGCUCCUGUUGCAGCUGCUACUGCUGUUUUCUUGAUUUACCCUAUUGGUCAAGGAAGCUUUUCUGAUGGUAUGCCUUUAGGAAUCUCUGGUACUUUCAACUUUAUGAUUGUAUUCCAGGCAGAGCACAACAUCCUUAGGCAUCCAUUCCACAUGUUAGGUGUAGCUGGUGUAUUCGGCGGUUCCCUAUUCAGUGCUAUGCAUGGUUCCUUGGUAACCUCUAGUUUGAUCAGGGAAACUACUGAAAAUGAAUCUCCUAAUGAGGGUUACAAAUUUGGUCAAGAGGAAGAAACUUAUAAUAUUGUGGCUGCUCAUGGUUAUUUUGGCCAACUAAUCUUCCAAUAUGCUAGUUUCAACAACUCUCGUUCUUUACACUUCUUCUUGGCUGCUUGGCCUGUAGUAGGAAUCUGGUUCACUGCUUUAGGUAUUAGUACUAUGGCUUUCAACCUAAAUGGUUUCAAUUUCAACCAAUCUGUAGUUGAUAGUCAAGGUCGCGUUAUUAAUACUUGGGCUGAUAUCAUCAACCGUGCUAACCUUGGUAUGGAAGUAAUGCACGAACAUAAUGCUCACAACUUCCCUCUAGACUUAGCUGCUGUUGAAGUUCCAUCUAUUAAUGGAUAA